AUAUAACCUUCAUAGUAACAUCCUUAACCAAAGAAAAUCACUAGCAAAGUUAAAUAAAGCUCAACGUAGAGAUUAAAGUUGCAAAUGGUCCACUUACAAAGUUAACACUUUUAAAUUAGUGCUAUAUACCCAUCAUUAAUUUUAUAAAAUUAGCAAGAAAAACAAAUUUUUGGCAAGAAAAACUCAUUUUAUAUGCUGGAGACAAAGACAAAGUAUACUCAUUGAAAUGUUAGAAGAGGAACUAGCUUUACUUCUCAAACUCAAAAAUAUGGAAUGCAUAAGGGCCAUUACAGUUAUUAUAAAGUCAAAGCAUCUCAUUUCAACCUUUUUGGGGAUAUUUCUUGUGAAUGUGAUAUACAGUAUCCUCAAGUCACUACAAAAACUAUAUUCACUGAAUAAGAACCUUUUGUUUUAUGCCAUACCUUUAGUUAGUUGUAUUAAAAUCAGCAUAAAUUUAGAUGUAUUUAUCAUAAGCUUCAUCCAGAUUUAAAAAUACAAUUCUUUUAUGAAAACAGAAAUGGUUUCCCUAUCA
Molecule: unclassified non-coding RNA, 532 nt
Filed under: Hevea brasiliensis (rubber tree)
Lineage: Eukaryota; Viridiplantae; Streptophyta; Magnoliopsida; Malpighiales; Euphorbiaceae
Source: RNAcentral